AUGCGCUCAUGUAUCCUUUGGAUGGAAAAGAGAAAGUGUCGCAAGAGUAAAAAAUCUGCAUGUGCUGCUCCAAGUAAAAUGAAGAGCAUGGUUGUUCAAGAAGAUUUGCUGAAAAAUGGUGCCUUCGUGGUUGCUUACAACAAAGUAGAAUUGUUCCAGAUGUAUUUUGCAUGCUCUAAGAAUUUGAUCGACAUCUUAUAUAUGCCCACUCUACCGUUUUCUUUAUCAAGCAUGUAA
Molecule: ribosomal RNA, 237 nt
Filed under: Triticum aestivum (bread wheat)
Lineage: Eukaryota; Viridiplantae; Streptophyta; Magnoliopsida; Poales; Poaceae
Description: partial small subunit ribosomal RNA
Source: RNAcentral